AAGAUCUUCAAACUUGAGACGAAAAAUGAAAAACUGACGAAGAAUGAAGCUAUUACUUUCGCCAUUCUUUGACCCUACUUUUUGACACGGAAAUUGAAAUUCGAAAAUCCAUCUAUAAUAUCAUCAAUAAGUACAUAACAAGAGAAUUAGCCAUGGGUUUUACAGCUAUGAAGAUAAUAACAAAUAAAUUACUUUUCAUGGACUUUUACAUGUGACGCUGAUUGUAAAAAAAUUAAGUGCACUGUGGAUAAAGUCUGUUCUCAUCUGGGAACAGUCUACACUAUUUUCAGAGAUUGGGAUGGCAAACGACAGACGAGGC
Long non-coding RNA from Belonocnema kinseyi, 319 nucleotides. RefSeq lists it as uncharacterized. The record is from RefSeq and is a predicted model, not a curated record. NCBI's taxonomy places the organism in Eukaryota, Metazoa, Arthropoda, Insecta, Hymenoptera, Cynipidae. The transcript is spliced from 3 exons.